Molecule: long non-coding RNA, 431 nt
Organism: Rhododendron vialii
Lineage: Eukaryota; Viridiplantae; Streptophyta; Magnoliopsida; Ericales; Ericaceae
Exons: 3
Source: RefSeq, a predicted model, not a curated record
GGAAACCCAUCAGGGAGUUGUUCCAACGUGGAGAGAGAGAGAGAGAGAGAGAGAGAGAGAGAGAGAGAGAGACGGUGGAAAGAAGAGGUGGAAGGGUGAUUGAAACCUCAAUUCAGUAGGUUCGGAGGCGACAAUGAGUACCGCAGCUCCACGUAGGGAGUGACUGCGUUGGUUUUCUUUUUUGUUGGAGACCGAGUUUUGCAGGUAUAGGUCGGUGUCCACUACAGGUCGCGUUUUGCAUUUUGUGACUCGCUCGAGAAGUGCGUAGUUGAGGCCUGUGGGAGUCCUUGUCUCCUGGCCCGUAGAUGAUUUUUGCUUAGUUUAGUUUUGGAUAUUAGUUGGUUAUGUUUAUUUCUUGACAGACUUCCGCUGUAGUUUGUAAAUGACAAUCAUUUUUGAGAUGUAAAUAAAAUGUGGCUUUUAAACUUCAA